Molecule: ribosomal RNA, 696 nt
Filed under: uncultured bacterium
Lineage: Bacteria
Description: bacterial SSU rRNA
Rfam family: Bacterial small subunit ribosomal RNA
Source: RNAcentral
AACGCUAGCUACAGGCUUAACACAUGCAAGUCGAGGGGAAACGACAUCGAAAGCUUGCUUUUGAUGGGCGUCGACCGGCGCACGGGUGAGUAACGCGUAUCCAACCUGCCCACCACUUGGGGAUAACCUUGCGAAAGUAAGACUAAUACCCGAUGAUAUCUCUAGAAGACAUCUGAAAGGGAUUAAAGAUUUAUCGGUGAUGGAUGGGGAUGCGUCUGAUUAGCUUGUUGGCGGGGUAACGGCCCACCAAGGCAACGAUCAGUAGGGGUUCUGAGAGGAAGGUCCCCCACAUUGGAACUGAGACACGGUCCAAACUCCUACGGGAGGCAGCAGUGAGGAAUAUUGGUCAAUGGGCGAGAGCCUGAACCAGCCAAGUAGCGUGCAGGACGACUGCCCUAUGGGUUGUAAACUGCUUUUAUAAGGGAAUAAAGUGAGUCUCGUGAGGCUUUUUGCAUGUACCUUAUGAAUAAGGACCGGCUAAUUCCGUGCCAGCAGCCGCGGUAAUACGGAAGGUCCGGGCGUUAUCCGGAUUUAUUGGGUUUAAAGGGAGCGUAGGCCGGAGAUUAAGCGUGUUGUGAAAUGUAGACGCUCAACGUCUGCACUGCAGCGCGAACUGGUUUCCUUGAGUACGCACAAAGUGGGCGGAAUUCGUGGUGUAGCGGUGAAAUGCUUAGAUAUCACGAAGAACUCCGAUUG